This 253-nucleotide ribosomal RNA is filed under the name uncultured bacterium. Its description in RNAcentral is "partial 16S ribosomal RNA". It matches the Rfam family "Bacterial small subunit ribosomal RNA", at positions 524 to 776 of the family's 1533-position model. The record is from RNAcentral.
UACGUAGGGCGCGAGCGUUAUCCGGAAUUAUUGGGCGUAAAGAGCUCGUAGGCGGUUUGUCGCGUCUGCCGUGAAAGUCCGGGGCUCAACUCCGGAUCUGCGGUGGGUACGGGCAGACUAGAGUGAUGUAGGGGAGACUGGAAUUCCUGGUGUAGCGGUGAAAUGCGCAGAUAUCAGGAGGAACACCGGUGGCGAAGGCGGGUCUCUGGGCCGAUACUGACGCUGAGGAGCGAAAGCGUGGGGAGCGAACAGG